This 165-nucleotide ribosomal RNA is filed under the name uncultured bacterium. Its description in RNAcentral is "partial 16S ribosomal RNA". It matches the Rfam family "Bacterial small subunit ribosomal RNA", at positions 355 to 511 of the family's 1533-position model. The record is from RNAcentral.
UAGGGAAUCUUCGGCAAUGGACGAAAGUCUGACCGAGCAACGCCGGGUGAGUGAAGAAGGUUUUCGGAUCGUAAAACUCUGUUGGUAGAGAAGAACGUUGGUGAGAGUGGAAAGCUCAUCAAGUGACGGUAACUACCCAGAAAGGGACGGCUAACUACGUGCCAG